This 252-nucleotide ribosomal RNA is filed under the name uncultured bacterium. RNAcentral's name for it is "partial 16S ribosomal RNA". It matches the Rfam family "Bacterial small subunit ribosomal RNA", at positions 524 to 776 of the family's 1533-position model. The record is from RNAcentral.
UACGUAGGUCCCGAGCGUUGUCCGGAUUUAUUGGGCGUAAAGCGAGCGCAGGUGGUUUAUUAAGUCUGGUGUAAAAGGCAGUGGCUCAACCAUUGUAUGCAUUGGAAACUGGUAGACUUGAGUGCAGGAGAGGAGAAUGGAAUUCCUAGUGUAGCGGUGAAAUGCGUAGAGAUUAGGAAGAACACCAGUGGCGAAGGCGAUUCUCUGGACUGUAACUGACGCUGAGGCUCGAAAGCGUGGGGAGCAAACGGG